Alligator sinensis (Chinese alligator) is the source of this 337-nucleotide long non-coding RNA. RefSeq lists it as uncharacterized. The record is from RefSeq and is a predicted model, not a curated record. The transcript has 3 exons. Lineage: Eukaryota; Metazoa; Chordata; Crocodylia; Alligatoridae.
AGGGAGGAGGGAACUCACACAGUAAGCGAGAGAUGGAGAGAUCCAAAGAAUGCUGACUGGUUACAAACAGGCUGAAGAGCCAUCAAGUUAAGAUCCUUUCCAGAGAACUAUCAAUGACUGAGCUGGAAAUAGAAGCCAUUUCCCUGAGUUUCUGUUCAUGUACACUGUCCUCUAGUUUAGCCCAUCCUGAGGUGAAUCAUGACCAACUCAUCAAGCUUGCCCUUCUACAUUACAGGAUACUUCAGAGGGACUUGACAUGGGACAGUGGACAUGUACAUCUGUAUGAUCCCAGGACAACAGGCUUUCUACCAGGACAAGUGCAACAGCUGUUUACAGG